Pocillopora verrucosa is the source of this 1291-nucleotide non-coding RNA. The record is from RefSeq and is a predicted model, not a curated record. Lineage: Eukaryota; Metazoa; Cnidaria; Anthozoa; Scleractinia; Pocilloporidae.
UUUUAGCUAUCAAAUCUGAAUUGUGCACACAAGCUCCAAGCUGGCAACUCACUGACAUUAAAAAAAUAAUUGUCAGGCUGGAUUGCCAUAUUGACUGGGUUCUCCACGCGAAUUUUCCCUUUGGAAAGUACGAGUGCGUCUCGGGAAAUUUCACUUCUGGAUUUACGGCAGUAUACAGUUUUUAAUUUAUAAAAAUUUAAAUUGUUAACCUUAUCUUUUCUAUGUUUCCUCAAUCAAACGCGCAGUAGUAGUAAUAGGGGCCGGUAUACGGACUGACCAAUCAGAAUCGAGUAUUGAUAUCACGUAGUACAAAUGGACCAAUCAGAGAGCUGGAUUUUUCACAUUCCAUUCUGAUGACGUCACAAGAACUGCGAGCUAUUGGUGACGAGUUUAGCGUGUGUGGGGAAAAAAACCGUUUGCAAGCGUCGGCCAUUUACUCGUGCGGCAGGUUUACUCGUAACGACGUCAGUGUAUUUUAUUUUAACCUGUUUAUUAUUUCCUUUUGUUUCGUUUAUAAUUUUGUUGGCACUAUGCUAAUAUUACAAACGAGGAUGUUUUCAGAGGAGGUAGAAUGCUGGGGGAUUGUGAGGGUAAGAUGAGAUUAUAUUUUUUACGCGUGUGUUUGCGAUAAGAUGACGAAAUGAAACGUGUAAUUUUUUUUUUGUUUUUUAGCGAGUGAAAUGGAUGUCAUUGACGAUAGGAUUGUUUAAAAGUGAAGCGAAUAAUACAAGAAGCGCGUGGAGAGAUUUCAUGUGACAAGAAGAAAAAUUAUAAAUGAGAAAAAAAUGAAUGAUGCACAAACACCAUGCGUUAUUGAAGAUCAAGAAUGCACAAUUUGUGUGACUGAUUGCCCUGAGCAGGAAAAAACGCCUUGCUGCAAGAAGACGACCACACUAAUUGUUUAAUGAAGUGGUACCAGUCCCAACAAGAAAAACAUUUAUGGCCCUCAUGUCCACAUUGUAGAGCAGAUCCCCCAUCGACAGUGUUGGAAGCCUUACUCGGAGUCCAUCCAUCACCACCGACACCAUUCCAUUGGGAGACAGCUCAAAAUCAUAUUGAAUAUUGGAACUAUACGUGGGAUGAAAGUAUUCCCAUUGAAAGAGAGGUUUUUUUUUUACAAUAUUUUCAGGAAAGGUUACCGGAUCAUAUUAUGUUGCAUGGAACGGAUAGUGGAUUGUAUCUGGUCACGUUUCAUCGAUAUGAGAAUCGAAGAGUAUCGAGAUUCUUGGCUCAGAACAAACGUGAAGCCAUCGAAGCCAUUCGAAGGUUUCGAUUUGUGUUGGAAAAUUUA